RNAcentral lists this long non-coding RNA (206 nucleotides) under Hordeum vulgare. RNAcentral's name for it is "long non-coding RNA (HVUL_LNC018976)". Lineage: Eukaryota; Viridiplantae; Streptophyta; Magnoliopsida; Poales; Poaceae. The record is from RNAcentral.
UAGAAACUGUUGCAAGAACCCUUGGAGCUCUACUCCCGUGGACAUGACCCAAGUGUUGGGAGGCACCAUGAAUAGAAUUUAGUCACACUGACAUCAUAGAGGUUGCCAAAACCCUGCAUGAUCCUAAAAAAAUGAGUGAGAAGAGGGGUAGAAUGAAAACUCCUACAUGAGGAUUCCUCACCAAACGAGGGAAGUGGGGUAAAAAG